This 1271-nucleotide ribosomal RNA is filed under the name Escherichia coli. RNAcentral describes it as "partial 23S ribosomal RNA". It matches the Rfam family "Bacterial large subunit ribosomal RNA", at positions 312 to 1591 of the family's 2925-position model. The record is from RNAcentral. Lineage: Bacteria; Pseudomonadati; Pseudomonadota; Gammaproteobacteria; Enterobacterales; Enterobacteriaceae.
CUGAAUCAGUGUGUGUGUUAGUGGAAGCGUCUGGAAAGGCGCGCGAUACAGGGUGACAGCCCCGUACACAAAAAUGCACACAUUGUGAGCUCGAUGAGUAGGGCGGGACACGUGGUAUCCUGUCUGAAUAUGGGGGGACCAUCCUCCAAGGCUAAAUACUCCUGACUGACCGAUAGUGAACCAGUACCGUGAGGGAAAGGCGAAAAGAACCCCGGCGAGGGGAGUGAAAAAGAACCUGAAACCGUGUACGUACAAGCAGUGGGAGCCUCUUAAUGGGGUGACUGCGUACCUUUUGUAUAAUGGGUCAGCGACUUAUAUUCUGUAGCAAGGUUAACCGAAUAGGGGAGCCGAAGGGAAACCGAGUCUUAACUGGGCGUUAAGUUGCAGGGUAUAGACCCGAAACCCGGUGAUCUAGCCAUGGGCAGGUUGAAGGUUGGGUAACACUAACUGGAGGACCGAACCGACUAAUGUUGAAAAAUUAGCGGAUGACUUGUGGCUGGGGGUGAAAGGCCAAUCAAACCGGGAGAUAGCUGGUUCUCCCCGAAAGCUAUUUAGGUAGCGCCUCGUGAAUUCAUCUCCGGGGGUAGAGCACUGUUUCGGCAAGGGGGUCAUCCCGACUUACCAACCCGAUGCAAACUGCGAAUACCGGAGAAUGUUAUCACGGGAGACACACGGCGGGUGCUAACGUCCGUCGUGAAGAGGGAAACAACCCAGACCGCCAGCUAAGGUCCCAAAGUCAUGGUUAAGUGGGAAACGAUGUGGGAAGGCCCAGACAGCCAGGAUGUUGGCUUAGAAGCAGCCAUCAUUUAAAGAAAGCGUAAUAGCUCACUGGUCGAGUCGGCCUGCGCGGAAGAUGUAACGGGGCUAAACCAUGCACCGAAGCUGCGGCAGCGACACUAUGUGUUGUUGGGUAGGGGAGCGUUCUGUAAGCCUGCGAAGGUGUACUGUGAGGUAUGCUGGAGGUAUCAGAAGUGCGAAUGCUGACAUAAGUAACGAUAAAGCGGGUGAAAAGCCCGCUCGCCGGAAGACCAAGGGUUCCUGUCCAACGUUAAUCGGGGCAGGGUGAGUCGACCCCUAAGGCGAGGCCGAAAGGCGUAGUCGAUGGGAAACAGGUUAAUAUUCCUGUACUUGGUGUUACUGCGAAGGGGGGACGGAGAAGGCUAUGUUGGCCGGGCGACGGUUGUCCCGGUUUAAGCGUGUAGGCUGAUUUUCCAGGCAAAUCCGGAAAAUCAAGGCUGAGGCGUGAUGACGAGGCACUACGGUGCUGAAGC